AGCCUAGCAGAGAAUCAACGCUCUGGCCUUGGCCUGCUAGAGAGCCUGUCUGAAUUUUCUUUAUAAAAUAAACAAUCCCAAUAUUGAUUUUUGGACAAGGCAUGUCUCCUCUCUGAGCAUCCACCACGUCAAACCAUGGGUGCCCUUGCCAUGGGAUGAUGAAGGCAGAGCUGGGUGGGCGUGUCAGUUCUGCGCACACAGACAAGGAGCAGCCUGCUGUCUAAUGUCCAGUCCUGGGUGCACCAGGCAACAGUCUGUGACACCCCUUAGCAGAGAGGGUCCCCCAACAGUUUGUCUUUGUGUUUCAGGAGCAAAGAAAAUACAUGCACUCUAUAACCGCUUAUUACCCUGGAUUCCCUGUCACAGAGGUGGAGAGAAGAUUCUGACCAAUACGUUUAAAUGGUCUUGGUUGAUCGUUUGGAGCUGGAAGGAGAAAGGCUGUCAUCUCAAAGUGGAGGAUGACUAAGGAGUGCCCAGGAAGCCAGCAGAGGCGGAAAGAGGCGGAAAGAGCAUCACACCGAAUGGUGUGGUCCGCAAAGGCGGAGGGAUAUUGAGUGAAGAUGGCCGAGGCUAGCCAAUGAGAAUAGAAUGCAAGCCAGAAGUGCAAGCCACACACGGAAUUUUACAUUUCUAGUGGCCACAU
Molecule: long non-coding RNA, 643 nt
Filed under: Equus caballus (horse)
Lineage: Eukaryota; Metazoa; Chordata; Mammalia; Perissodactyla; Equidae
Description: lncRNA (ENSECAG00000045763.1)
Source: RNAcentral